Molecule: long non-coding RNA, 438 nt
Organism: Juglans regia (Persian walnut)
Lineage: Eukaryota; Viridiplantae; Streptophyta; Magnoliopsida; Fagales; Juglandaceae
Exons: 3
Source: RefSeq, a predicted model, not a curated record
AAGUGAUUCAGUUCCUUACCAUCGACCCAAAAUCAAAUGCUUCACUCAGUUCCAAAACCUCGGGAAAACUCUAUCGAAUGAAAACCUAGAACAUAUAUCAUAUAAGAGGUUAUCUACUUCGAAGAUCUAGUGCUUCAGAGUGUAAAUGAAAUGGAGAAAGAAGCACAUCUGCGUAAGAAGGCUGCCAAUGUCAAGUGCCAGAGGUGCUCAACUUCAAUUGCCACCAAUGCCAACUCAAUCGGCACAUGAACAAAGCCUAUAGGAUUAUUCUUGUUUUUUAUUAGACCUGGGUAUGUUCUCUUCCCUAUAUAUGAUCAUAUCAUGGAUUUAUGUAAACUUGAAAUACUACAAUCCUGUUAAUUUCCGUUGUGCACAUGAUUUGCAAAUCUGAUUUCUUCCUUCAACUGGUAUUAGAGCAUGCUUCCUGAUUUGCAUUAA